Long non-coding RNA from Pseudophryne corroboree (corroboree frog), 335 nucleotides. RefSeq lists it as uncharacterized. Lineage: Eukaryota; Metazoa; Chordata; Amphibia; Anura; Myobatrachidae. The transcript has 2 exons. The record is from RefSeq and is a predicted model, not a curated record.
AAACAUUAAUCCUCAUAAACAUGUUCUUCCAAAAUGUUUUCUUACCUUCUGCAGAUUGUUCCAAAGUACAAAACGGCGGUCCACGCACCACUACCUCCUGCAUAAUGAUGGAAAAGCUGUAAACAUCUCCGGAGAAAGAGCCAUGCAGCGCCGCAUGUGGGUCCCUCAGUAACUCUGGUGACGUCCACAGUAACUCUAUAAGAACAGAGUCAUUCAUAGGAGGGACACCUGUAAUACUAUUUGGCAUGGAAUAUGUCACAGAUGCAGGGAAUAUAAUUUAUAUUAUAGGAAGACUGCAGCAAGAUUUCCUCCAAUAACAACAAUGUUUGAACACU